This 296-nucleotide ribosomal RNA is filed under the name Microbacterium phyllosphaerae. RNAcentral's name for it is "partial 16S ribosomal RNA". It matches the Rfam family "Bacterial small subunit ribosomal RNA", at positions 1202 to 1495 of the family's 1533-position model. Lineage: Bacteria; Bacillati; Actinomycetota; Actinomycetes; Micrococcales; Microbacteriaceae. The record is from RNAcentral.
UUAUGUCUUGGGCUUCACGCAUGCUACAAUGGCCGGUACAAAGGGCUGCAAUACCGCGAGGUGGAGCGAAUCCCAAAAAGCCGGUCCCAGUUCGGAUUGAGGUCUGCAACUCGACCUCAUGAAGUCGGAGUCGCUAGUAAUCGCAGAUCAGCAACGCUGCGGUGAAUACGUUCCCGGGUCUUGUACACACCGCCCGUCAAGUCAUGAAAGUCGGUAACACCUGAAGCCGGUGGCCUAACCCUUGUGGAGGGAGCCGUCGAAGGUGGGAUCGGUAAUUAGGACUAAGUCGUAACAAG